Molecule: ribosomal RNA, 253 nt
Filed under: uncultured bacterium
Lineage: Bacteria
Description: partial 16S ribosomal RNA
Rfam family: Bacterial small subunit ribosomal RNA
Source: RNAcentral
UACGGGGGGGGCAAGCGUUGUUCGGAAUUACUGGGCGUAAAGAGCUCGUAGGCGGUCUGUUGCGUCCGCUGUGAAAACUCGGGGCUUAACCCCGAGCCUGCAGUGGAUACGGGCAGACUAGAGGUAGGUAGGGGAGAAUGGAAUUCCCGGUGUAGCGGUGAAAUGCGCAGAUAUCGGGAGGAACACCGGUGGCGAAGGCGGUUCUCUGGGCCUUACCUGACGCUGAGACGCGAAAGCGUGGGGAGCGAACAGG